UACAGUUCUUGCUGGAUUGUUGUGUUACCUGAGAGAUUCACCCUGUCCCCCUGGAUUACCGGUCUUCCCAGUCAGUCUGCACGGUUGUCUGGAUUUACCCCCACCUUCUCUUACCUGCCAGCUCCCACAACUUCUCCCUCCUCAAUGGAACCUGGACCUAUCCCCGACCCCCUCCUCUGCUCAUUCAUUCCUAUCUGUUUGCUAUUUUCCAAAUAAACCUCUAAACACCAUCA
Molecule: long non-coding RNA, 233 nt
Organism: Micropterus dolomieu (smallmouth bass)
Lineage: Eukaryota; Metazoa; Chordata; Actinopteri; Centrarchiformes; Centrarchidae
Exons: 2
Source: RefSeq, a predicted model, not a curated record